This 173-nucleotide ribosomal RNA is filed under the name Debregeasia elliptica. Its description in RNAcentral is "5.8S ribosomal RNA". The stretch from base 24 to 173 matches the Rfam family "5.8S ribosomal RNA". Rfam says of the family: 5.8S ribosomal RNA (5.8S rRNA) is a component of the large subunit of the eukaryotic ribosome. It is transcribed by RNA polymerase I as part of the 45S precursor that also contains 18S and 28S rRNA. Lineage: Eukaryota; Viridiplantae; Streptophyta; Magnoliopsida; Rosales; Urticaceae. The record is from RNAcentral.
GUUUGUUCUAUAUAAGUCAUAACGACUCUCGGCAACGGAUAUCUCGGCUCUCGCAUCGAUGAAGAACGUAGCGAAAUGCGAUACGUGGUGUGAAUUGCAGAAUUCCGUGAACCAUCGAGUUUUUGAACGCAAGUUGCGCCCAAAGCCAUUCGGCCGAGGGCACGCCUGCCUGG